AGUAAUGUUUGGGAAUCUAGCUUAUGGAGGGGGAUAACUACGGGAAACUGUAGCUAAUACCGCGUAGAAUCGGGAGAUGAAAGUGUGGGACCUUCGGGCCACAUGCCAUAGGAUGAGCCCAAGUGGGAUUAGGUAGUUGGUGAGGUAAAGGCUCACCAAGCCGACGAUCUCUAGCUGGUCUGAGAGGAUGACCAGCCACACUGGGACUGAGACACGGCCCAG
This 222-nucleotide ribosomal RNA is filed under the name uncultured bacterium. RNAcentral's name for it is "partial 16S ribosomal RNA". It matches the Rfam family "Bacterial small subunit ribosomal RNA", at positions 109 to 334 of the family's 1533-position model. The record is from RNAcentral.